Molecule: long non-coding RNA, 972 nt
Filed under: Callithrix jacchus (white-tufted-ear marmoset)
Lineage: Eukaryota; Metazoa; Chordata; Mammalia; Primates; Cebidae
Description: lncRNA (ENSCJAG00000070834.1)
Source: RNAcentral
UUUUGAGUUAUUUGGGUGAAGUAUAUUUGUUUAGAAGCAAAUUUACCUUUCUCUCUGAGUUCUGCAAAAAUGUGGAUUGUGAUUUUAUGGCAAUAUAGCUAUUUGCAUAAGUUUAUUAAGAGACUUUUAAAACAUAACAAUUGGAGAGACUGAUUAUUUUACCAAGACUUUGACCAAAACAUCAUUUUUAGAUAAAGUUCCCACAAAGCCGACUUAAAAGAAGCCUAUACGGCAAAUGAAUUCUUGUUGCAUUUUGUGCAAAUUAUCAGGCUAAGUAUAAAUUUUGCACACAAUUGGCCUUAUUAUAAUUUCUCUUUAAUAGAAAAGUAGGGCUAAAGAAAGGGAAAUUGUUUCAGAAAUAAAGGGUAACACUUGAUACUAGAUUUCAGCCCUAACUUUUUUUUGAGUACAGAUUGAAUCAUGAAUUAUUUCUUAGCUAUAAUAAUCCUCUAGAAAGCACCAGAUGAUAAUUUUUGUUCAUAUCUUUAAUUGGUAACCUAAUGGAAUAGUCUCCUUUUUCUGUUUUUAACAGAAAAAUAUUCUUUUGAUUGUCAAAAUAUUAAUAUUAUUUAUUUCUCCUUGUUUUACUUCCAAGAAAACAAAAAAUCAUUAUAUUCUGAAGACCAGAGAUUUGAAUCUCCCUUAUUCAGCACCCCAGUGGACCUGAUCUGUUUUUCACUGCAAAUGCCCUGCUGCUAAAACUGUACAAGCAUCCUCUCUCUGGGCCCAGGGACUUUCACAGAAGAGGGAGAAAAUUGGACAUCACACAAAUAAUACUGGAGAAGUAACUCACCCAGAUGAUAUAGUAAAGUAUUCUUGUUCAUUUCACAGACAGAUUGAGAAAAAGAAACACUUCUCAGUUGACUGCGAUGACUGGAGGCUGGUAAUGAUGAGGGGCUGAAGUUUUCACUACCAGGAGUUAUCACAGCUAGUGGACUUGACAGCUGGAGUGUUUUUAAAUACCAAAGUUAG